This 554-nucleotide long non-coding RNA is filed under the name Ictidomys tridecemlineatus (thirteen-lined ground squirrel). RNAcentral's name for it is "lncRNA (ENSSTOG00000030517.1)". Lineage: Eukaryota; Metazoa; Chordata; Mammalia; Rodentia; Sciuridae. The record is from RNAcentral.
CUUCAAAGACAAAGGCAGAGCAGCUGCAAAGGUGGCACAAGUGGGUGUCACCAUCUCCUCACAAAGCAAGGAGCCUCAUCCUCCCCACCCACCAGAAACCAGGAGUCCACCUCUGGGCUGAGGCUGCCGUCUGGAGAUGUGUGCUGCCAAUGGACAUCUUAUAGCCCCUAAGUCGGCAGGAGGCCGGCCUGCUGUGCCGCACAGCAAGAGACCCGGACCGGACUCAGGCCACAGGUGGACAGCACGCCAGAGCUCAGAGCCCAACGAAGAGCAAGGUGGCAGUGGCACUCAGCUGGCAGCCCCAGCGAGGGCCAGGUUCCCUGUGCAGGACUCCUGAGGAGUGUGGUGGGAAGUUCAGUCAGGAUGUGUGCAGGUACCUACCCCAGCACCCACGUCCUGAUCCACUGUGGCCUGGCAGGUCUCGGAUCCUCGGACAGCCCUCCCGUGUCCCUGGGCAGGUGAGCUCUGCCUUCGCCCGAGAAGCACCCAGGCUGGGGCUGGCUUCCCCCCAGGGAGGCUUGGCUGCUGUGGGGCUCGUGGGAGCGCUCAGCGAC